This 382-nucleotide long non-coding RNA is filed under the name Actinidia chinensis (golden kiwifruit). Its description in RNAcentral is "long non-coding RNA (ACHI_LNC005416)". The record is from RNAcentral. Lineage: Eukaryota; Viridiplantae; Streptophyta; Magnoliopsida; Ericales; Actinidiaceae.
GUGCCUCGCCCACUAUAUAUACCCAACCGUACAUUGCUUCAACUUCAAUUUGAUCCCAUUUACACAAUCCCUAAUUUAACAGUCAUUUUCUUGAUUUCUUGGCCAAUUUGAUCCGUUAUAGUUUCUGGGUAGUGAUUGCUUCACUGAUUUACAAUCCGUCCCUGAACAAUUCAUUUUCUUGGCGUCUUUGCCUAUUUGAUCUGUUUUAGCUUCUGGGUAUUGCUCGGUUCACUGAACAAUUCAUUUUCUUGGUCUUGACCAAUUUGAUCCAUUUUAGCUUCCGAGUCUUGUUUGGUUAGUUGAUUUUCACAUGGCCAUGAACGCUCUCGCCGCCACAAACCGCAAUUUUCGCCACGCGGCUCGCAUUCUUGGGUUGGACUCU